Molecule: long non-coding RNA, 330 nt
Filed under: Phoenix dactylifera (date palm)
Lineage: Eukaryota; Viridiplantae; Streptophyta; Magnoliopsida; Arecales; Arecaceae
Description: long non-coding RNA (PDAC_LNC008190)
Source: RNAcentral
UUUUCCUAGAAAAGAGGAACAACAAGGGUGAUGCAGUUUGAUGGUGGUGUUAUUGGGUUGCAAUUAGAGGACCUGUGGCAAACACCCACAAGUAGUGAUGGGUGACUAGAAGAAGAAAAAAAGAGGAAGUCCAUCCAAAAUAGGUGACUGAAGGGUUUGGCAUCAAGUCAAGCCUCAGCUCACUUGUUGGCAGCUGAACUACAUCGUCUGGCCAUGGAAGGCGUCAAGGAAGGCUUGGCAAGAGAUGGAUUGUGGUUUUCAACUAUAAGGUAGGAGAUGAGGUUGGGUAAUCACAGAACAAGGGGUAAUAGGGGAUUCAUGCAAACUAGG